RNAcentral lists this ribosomal RNA (253 nucleotides) under uncultured bacterium. RNAcentral's name for it is "partial 16S ribosomal RNA". It matches the Rfam family "Bacterial small subunit ribosomal RNA", at positions 524 to 776 of the family's 1533-position model. The record is from RNAcentral.
UACAGAGGGUGCAAGCGUUAAUCGGAAUUACUGGGCGUAAAGGGUGCGUAGGUGGUUUGUUAAGUCAAGUGUGAAAUCCCUGGGCUCAACCUGGGAACUGCAUUUGAUACUGGCAGACUCGAGUCUGGUAGAGGGUAGUGGAAUUCCGCAUGUAGCGGUGAAAUGCGUAGAGAUGCGGAGGAACACCAGUGGCGAAGGCGGCUACCUGGACCAAGACUGACACUGAGGCACGAAAGCGUGGGGAUCAAACAGG